RNAcentral lists this ribosomal RNA (319 nucleotides) under uncultured fungus. RNAcentral's name for it is "eukaryotic LSU rRNA". The stretch from base 264 to 319 matches the Rfam family "Eukaryotic large subunit ribosomal RNA", at positions 1 to 56 of the family's 3401-position model. The record is from RNAcentral. Lineage: Eukaryota; Fungi.
GUGAAUCAUCGAGUCUUUGAACGCGAAUGGCACUGCUAUGUAAGUAGCAGUAUGUCUGUUUGAGAAUCGCAAAACACGAUCAACUCUAGUUAAGAGUUAGGAUUGACCUCAUAUGCUUUUAGCGUAUCUGGUUUGAAUGUAUUAAGUUGAUGGGCUUCCCAGCAUUGCUCAAUGUGUGCUAGCUAGACAGUCGUCCCGAUCUCACAUUACGGCUUUGUUGCAAGGUUCUAUUCACAACUUUUUAAUUGUUUCAUUAUCAAUUGCGAUCUCAAAUCAGGCAAGAUUACCCGCUGAACUUAAGCAUAUCAAUAAGCGGAGG